GAUGAACGCUGGCGGCGUGCCUAAUACAUGCAAGUCGAGCGAACAGACGAGGAGCUUGCUCCUCUGAUGUUAGCGGCGGACGGGUGAGUAACACGUGGAUAACCUACCUAUAAGACUGGGAUAACUUCGGGAAACCGGAGCUAAUACCGGAUAACAUGUUGAACCGCAUGGUUCAACAGUGAAAGACGGUCUUGCUGUCACUUAUAGAUGGAUCCGCGCCGCAUUAGCUAGUUGGUAAGGUAACGGCUUACCAAGGCAACGAUGCGUAGCCGACCUGAGAGGGUGAUCGGCCACACUGGAACUGAGACACGGUCCAGACUCCUACGGGAGGCAGCAGUAGGGAAUCUUCCGCAAUGGGCGAAAGCCUGACGGAGCAACGCCGCGUGAGUGAAGAAGGUCUUCGGAUCGUAAAACUCUGUUAUUAGGGAAGAACAAAUAUGUAAGUAACUAUGCACGUCUUGACGGUACCUAAUCAGAAAGCCACGGCUAACUACGUG
RNAcentral lists this ribosomal RNA (497 nucleotides) under uncultured bacterium. RNAcentral describes it as "partial 16S ribosomal RNA". It matches the Rfam family "Bacterial small subunit ribosomal RNA", at positions 28 to 507 of the family's 1533-position model. The record is from RNAcentral.